This 1351-nucleotide long non-coding RNA is filed under the name Brassica napus (rape). Its description in RNAcentral is "long non-coding RNA (BNAP_LNC003656)". The record is from RNAcentral. Lineage: Eukaryota; Viridiplantae; Streptophyta; Magnoliopsida; Brassicales; Brassicaceae.
GUGAACUAUGUGAUGAACACGCUGUUAUCGAUGAACAUGGUGAUUGCGUUCAUCAUGGCAGUGGUUUUGGACAAUACUGUACCUGGGAGUAGGCAAGAACGUGGUGUUUAUGUUUGGUCUGAUAGUGAGACUGUGACGAGAGAACCAGCACUUGCUAAAGACUAUGAGCUGCCGUUUAGAGUGGGAAGGUUUUUCAGAUGGGUCAAAUGGGUUGGCAUUUGAAUGAAAAAAACUCAAUGGCAAAGUGGUAAAUAAUUAGAUUUUCUUUUUGUUUUCUUUUCCUCUGUUUUUUUAGUCUCUCAGUUUUAUAAAACACCUUGGAGUUUUCUUGGAUCGCAAGUUUGUUUGUUGAACAGAGCACGUGGAAUUGGAUGUUGUUGUUGUUGUAAGUUAUAUGGACUAUUAUGAGCAAUCCUUUUAUAACUAUAUUUAGUUAUUUCUUUCACUUUUACUAAAUACUAGAGAUUUUUUCCGUGCUUCGUGCGGAUUGUGUCUUAUAAAAUUAUAUUAUUUAUAAUAUUAUUUGUCGGUUUUUUUCUUUUACAUUAAUUUCUUGUUUUUUUAAUGUUAGUUUUUCUUAAUUUAAAUUUAUAUGUUUAUAAUUUUUCAUUUUUCUUGUUGUAGAUGGGGAAUUAUAUUUUUUAUUGAUGGUUUUUUGUAUGUGACAUAAACUUUUUGAAAUUUUAAAAUAAUGUUAUAUAUAGUACGAUAAACACAUUAAAGAAGAUAAACAUAUUCAUGCACAUUUUACACAGGUUUUAUAUGCAUAAUUUAAAACAUUAUAUAUGUAUAUAUUAUAAGUUUGAAACAUGUAAAUGCUUUCUAAAGCUAAAUACUUAUUCUGAGUUUACAUAACUUAUCAACAGUUUUAUCUCUUUUUAAAUUCAAAUCACAGAAAAAAAAUAUUAAAAAGUUAGUAUAGAUGGGUUUUUUAGGCUUUUAAAUCAACACUCCUGCUUACUUCCAGCAAUAUGGCGUUUCUCCAAACUCGAACCUCUCUGUUCCAAGUUAUUACCAGCCUUACAUUGUUGCUUCUCAUGGACCCUUCAACAGCCAAUAUAAAGGGGUACGUUUACGCUUUUGCCUUUUUCAAAAUGUAAAUCUCAGGAGAGUAUUAGUAAACUUGUGUAAGAGUUUUGUGCAGGUGAACUAUGUGAUGAACACGCUGUUAUCGAUGAACAUGGUGAUUGCGUUCAUCAUGGCAGUGGUUUUGGACAAUACUGUACCUGGGAGUAGGCAAGAACGUGGUGUUUAUGUUUGGUCUGAUAGUGAGACUGUGACGAGAGAACCAGCACUUGCUAAAGACUAUGAGCUGCCGUUUAGAGUGGGAAGGUUUUUCAGAUGGGUCAAA